GUCAGGGUGGCCGAGCGGUCUAAGGCGCUGCGUUCAGGUCGCAGUCUCCGUGGGUUCGAAUCCCACUCCUGACA
This is a non-coding RNA of Mauremys reevesii (Reeves's turtle), 74 nucleotides long. The record is from the annotation of a RefSeq genome assembly. NCBI's taxonomy places the organism in Eukaryota, Metazoa, Chordata, Testudines, Geoemydidae.